This 398-nucleotide ribosomal RNA is filed under the name uncultured bacterium. Its description in RNAcentral is "bacterial SSU rRNA". It matches the Rfam family "Bacterial small subunit ribosomal RNA", at positions 1001 to 1391 of the family's 1533-position model. The record is from RNAcentral.
AAUAUACUCCUUCUCCCUCGCAAGGGGCACUAGCAUACGAUAGGGUGCGUGCAUGGUCUGUCGUCAGCUCGUGUCGGGAGAUGUUGGGUUAAGUCCCGCAACGAGCGCAACCCUUAUUGUCAGUUGCCAUCAUUCAGUUGGGCACUCUGGCGAAACCGCCUCGGAUAACGGGGAGGAAGGUGGGGAUGACGUCAAGUCCUCAUGGCCUUUAUGUCCAGGGCUACACACGUGCUACAAUGGUUGGUACAAACCGUCGCAAACCCGCGAGGGGGAGCUAAUCGGAAAAAGCCAAUCCCAGUCCGGAUUGGAGUCUGCAACUCGACUCCAUGAAGCUGGAAUCGCUAGUAAUCGCAGAUCAGCACGCUGCGGUGAAUACGUUCCCGGGCCUUGACCACACC